Oncorhynchus masou masou (cherry salmon) is the source of this 9870-nucleotide long non-coding RNA. RefSeq lists it as uncharacterized. Lineage: Eukaryota; Metazoa; Chordata; Actinopteri; Salmoniformes; Salmonidae. The transcript has 3 exons. The record is from RefSeq and is a predicted model, not a curated record.
CCACCCAAAGAAGCACCUUCAAUACCUUACCUAGAAGAGCCACACCAAUUUUUUUUAUAUAUAUAUAUAUAGAAAAAUGUACUUGUCUUUUGCUACUAGCACUGACUUUGCUGUUCCGGGAUUCAUACAAUGGCAUUGAGGAGUAUACCACCUUAGUCAUCGGCUUCAUCAAUAAGUGCAUUGACGAUGUUGUCCCCAAAGUGACUGUACAAACAUAUCCCAACCAGAAGCCAUGGAUUACAGGCAACAUCUGCAUCGAACUAAAGGCAAGCGCUGCUGCUUUCAAGGAGCGGGACACUAAUCUGGACACUUAUAAGAAAUCCCCCACGGGAUAGGUUUUCAGAAGACCGAGACGGGUUUUCCUCGAAGGACCCUGGGACUAAACACCUCCAUCUCCAACUGGAUCCUGGACUUCAUGACGGACCACACCCGGGUGGUAAGGAUGGAGGGAGACCAACAGAUGGAUAGAGAGACAGACAGGCGGAUGGAGGAACCCGAGAUAUUCCAAGUGGCUAAAUGAUGCCGGGUCUAGGGCAUUCCUAAUUGCUGAACGGCUCCCAAGUGAAGCGGAACGUCGUUGCUCCCUCCUCCUCCACCCCUUGAGCCCAGACACCAGCACACGGGGGGUGGGGGAGGUAGCCAGGCAGGCUGUCGGGCCGACGGAAGAGGCAGAGACAGAGGCCCAGGGAAGGUGUAGAGAAUCGGGGGAAGGGCCCAGCGCGUUAGGCCCCAGUCGCCCCAACAGCACUGACACACGCCAUCAACGAGAGGUGGAUGCUGAGUUAGAAAGGCAAAGGAGAAAAACACAAAGCUGGCGAGAGAGGUAGACUGAGAGAGAGAUAGAGAGCAAUGGAGGGAGUGAUUAUGCUGCUUGCUGAUGUCACACCUGCGCUGAGCCAAUCCCGGCACUCUGGCAGUCAUCUGCUUUGUCACAUGGCUUCUGUCCCCUGAUGAUGCCUUAGCUCUUUAGCUUGGACUGUUAGCAGAUAUAUUGUAGCCUAUACAUACAAUUCCACACUCAUUGCAUGUUUUUUUUAUUGUACCUGCUAAUACAGCAACAUAACACAGGGAUGCUUAAAAUACCUAUCAACAGUAUACAGACAAUUCUACAUGCACCUAGUAUAUUCAGUUUUUUUGUGCAGAUGUGAAAUCCUACCAAGGACACAUGUCUUGAUUUCUUCACGACUGUGUGUCUGUAUAAAUGUUUGAUAUUUAACUGUAUGCUUAUUCACAUCAGUAUGUUUGUUGCUCUGUUUUCGCGUCACAUGAUGGCAAUCCUUUAUGCCAAAGUCGCAUUGUCAACAACCACCAGCACACAAACACACACAUACGGGGAACAUCACACAUACCUCAGCAUGUCAGAUAAAGAGGGAGAUUUGUCAAUUAGGUACGUUAGAAGGAGGAUUCAAAUGGGUAUGUGGGAAGGGAUAAGGGUAUUUAUUUGGAAUUGGGGUAACUGUCAUGGGACAGUGUAGCUCAGAGGCAUUCUGUGAAUAAAAUAACCAUUCCCUUAUUGAAAAUAACACAUACACUCACUUAGGUUGGAGUCAUUAAAACUCGUUUUUCAACCACUCCACAUAUUACUUGUUAACAAACUAUAGUUUUGGCAGGUCAGUUAGGACAUCUACUUUGUGCAUGACAUGCCAUUUUUACAAUAAUUGUUUACAGAUUAUUUCACAAUAUCACAAUUCCAGUGGGUCAGAAGUUUACAUACACUAAAUUGACUGCUUUUAAACAGCUUGGAAAAUUCCAGAAAAUGUCAUGGCUUUAGAGGCAUCUGAUAGGCUAAUUGAUAUCAUUUGAGUCAAUUGGAGGUGUACUUGUGGAUGUAUUUCAAGGCCUAGCUUCAAACUCACUGCCUCUGCUUGUUUUCAUGGGAAAUCAAAAGAAAUCAGCCAAGUCAAAAAAUUGUAGACCUCCACAAGUCUGGUUCAUCCUUUGGAGCAAUUUCCAAAUGCCUGAAGGUAACACGUUCAUCUGUACAAACACUAGUACACAAGUAUAAACACCAUAGGUGUCACGCCCUGAUCUUAGAGAUCCUUUUUAUUCUCUAUGUUAGGUCAGGGUGUGACUCGGGUGGGAAAGUCUGUUUUGUAUUUCUUUGUUUUUGGCCAUGUGUGGUUCCCAAUCAGAGGCAGCUGUCUAUCGUUGUCUCUGAUUGGGGAUCACAUAUAAGUUGUCAUUUUCCUUUUGGGUUUUGUGGGAUCAUGUUUUCUGUUUAGUGUCUGUGUAAUGGCUAUCGAUGGUGCUUUGUGGGCAGAACUGAGAAAGCGUGUGUGAGCAAGGAGGCCUACACACCUGACUCAGUUACACCAGCUCUGUCAGGAGGAAUGGGCCAAAAUUCACCCAACUUAUUGUGGGAAGCUUGUGGAAGUCUACCUGAAACAUUUGACCCAAGUUAAACAAUUUAAAGGCAAUGCUACCAAAUACACUCAAUUAGUAUGUUAACUUCUGACCUACUGGGAAUGUGAUGACAGAAAGAAAAGCUGAAAUCUCUAUUAUUCUGACAUUUCACAUUCUUAAAAUAAAGUGGUGAUUCUAACUGACCUAAGACAUAAUUUUUACUAGGAUUAAAUGCCAGGAAUUGUGAAAAACUGAGUAUAAAUGUAUUUGGCUAAGGUGUAUGUUAACUUACAACUUCAACUGUACAUUUCACAUGUGAACACGUGAUGUUAAUGUGACGCAACGUGAUAACAUGAAACUACGUGACAACAUGAUCUCUUGUGAAAUAAAUGUGACAACAUGGGGAGGCACUUGGGAUUUGAACUCAACACCUCUUGGUUGCAAGCUACCUGAAGUUCCUGCUGCACCACCAGGUCUGUUGACAUCUGCCUCCCGUGUCUGUUGAAGAUCAGCUGGCUAUAUCAUGACACUAGGCGAGACCCAAAUGCAGACACGGGAGGCAGGUGGUUGGAGUUUCAGAUGUUUAAUAAAUCUAAAGGGAAUAGGCAAGAGAAUGGUCGUGGACAGGCAAAAGGUCAUAACCAGAUCAGAGUCCAGGAGGUACAGAGUGGCAGGCAGGCAGAAUAGUCAGGCAGGCGGGUACAAAGUCCAGAACAGGCAAAUGUCAAAACCGGGAGGACUAGAAAAAUGAGAAAAGGCAAAGCAGGAAAACACGCUGGUAGGCUUGGACAUACAAGACGAACUGGCAAAAAGAGACAGGAAACACAUGGAUACAUACACUGGGAAAGACAAGCGACGCCUAGAGGGGGUGGCGACAAUAACGAGGACAGGUGAAACAGAUCAGGGCGUGACAAGCUACUGUUUUAUUGCCAAGGAUACACUUCUGCACUUUCCUAAAGUUGCAGUAAAAAUAGAGUAAAUAUAUACCAAAACUAUACCAAAGGUGUUAUUUCUAUAAAAUAAGAGUAUGCUUCUGUAUUCCAAUGUAAACGACUGUAAAAUCUUCUACUGUUACCACUUCACCUUAAAUGGUAUUUGAACUCGUGACCUCUCGGUCACGAGCAACCUGAAGUGUAUUGCUACAGUGCAGCUACACCACCAGAUUUCUGAGUGUGAAAGGAAUAUGGGCUACAGACUUAUUGUCAGGAAUGUGUUUCUACACUUUGCCAAAAGCUGCCCAGAAUCAAGUAAACGAUUGUCCAAUUACCCCCAUCAAUGCAACAUUAACAUAAAACAAGCAAUGCUCAAGGACCCUUGACUUCUAUGAGCAUACAUUCUUUGAGGAUUUGAACAUGCAACCUCUGGGUUGGGAGUGCAUCAAUGUUUCUGCAGUGCCACCAGGUUCAUACUCAUUGAUUAGAACAUAUAUUAACACACUCAAAAAUAAUUGUCUGGUUUGGUACACUACAGUAUUCCCUGGGAUACAAAAAGGUCAAAGGGUACACUUCACAGGUACACAUACAGUAUGAACUCACAUGGUACAAUGUUGUACCUUGUAGGUAUAAUGGGCCAUUUUUCUACCCAAUAUUUGUGUCACACUCUGAUCUGUUUCAUCUGUAAAUUGUGAUUGUCUCUACCCCCCUCCAGGUGUUGCCCAUCUUCCCAUUAUCCCCUGUGUAUUUAUACCUGUGUUUUCUGUCUGCCUGUCCCAGUUUGUUUUGUUUCUUCAAGCCUACCAGUGGUUUCUCAGCUCUUGCUUUCCCCCCCAAGCACAAAAAGCACAAUUUGUUACGUCCCUGUUAGUGAGCAUUUCUCCUUUGCCAAGAUAAUCCCUUCACCUGACAGGUGUGGCAUAUCAAGACGUUGAUUAAACAGCGUGAACCUUGUGCUGGGGACAAUAAAAGGCCACUCUAAAAUGUGCAGUUUUGUCACACAAGACAGAAGUCACAAGUUGAGGGAGUGCACAAUUUGGAAUUUUUUAUCCAUUAUUUUACCAGGUAAGUUUACUGAGAACACAUUCUCAUUUACAGAAACAACCUGGGGAAUAGUUACAGGGGAGAGGAAGAAUGAGCCAAUUGUAAACUGGGGAUUAUUAGGUGACCAUGAUAGUUUGAGGGCCGAUUGGGAAUUUAGCCAGUACACCUGGGUUAACACCCCUAAGAUAAGUGCCACCCUACACAGGGCAGUGUCCCCAAUCACUGCCCUGGAGAAUUGGGAUAUUUUUUAGACCAGAGGAAAGAGUGCCUCCAACACCACUUCCAGCAGCAUCUGGUCUCCCAUCCAGGGACUGACCAGGACCAACCCUGCUUAGCUUCAGAAGCAAGCCAGCAGUGGUAUGCAGGGUGGCAUGCUGACUGCAAGAAUGUCCACCAAAGCUGUUGCCAGAGAAUUGAAUGAUAAUUUCUCUAUCAUAAGCCACCUCCAACAUCAUUUGAAAUAAUUUGGCAGUACAUCAAACUGGCCUCAAAACCACAGACCAGGUGUAACCACGCCAACCCAGGACCUCCACCUCCGGCUUCUUCACCUGCGGGAUCGUCUGAGGCCAGCCACCCGGACAGCUGAUGAAGCUGAGGAUUAUUUCUGUCUGUAAUAAAGCCCUUUUGUGGGGAAAAACAAAUUCUGAUUGGCUGGGCCUGGCUCCCCAGUGGGUGGGCCUAUGCCCUCCCAGGUCCACCCAUGGCUGCGGGCCCCAGCCAAGUCAUGUGAAAUACAUAUAUUAGGACGUGAUUCAUUCAUUUCAAUUGACUGAUUUCCUUAUAUGAACUGUAAUUCAGUAAAAUCAUUGAAAUUAUUGUAUGUUACUGUUUAUAUUUUUGUUCAGUAUAUUUGACCAUGUGCCUAAAUAUGCUAAUGAGCCCCAGACAACACAUAGGUCCCACCUACAUUUUAAGAGCAGUACAGCUCUCCAACUCUCCAGAAAUUUCCGAAUAGCUAAUUCGUUGAACAUGGAACGUGAUGAGUUUCCUAGUUCUGACGAGCACGUGCACGCAACAUAAUGCUGCAUUUGUAACUCAGUGGGAAUGUGGAAUUUACCACACACGACUGGGAAAACUCUACUUGAACGUCCCUCCAACUGGUAAUUACUAGUGGAACACUCAUCUAUCAUCCUGAGCUCCCACUUCUCCCACAUGCUGACCUCCGAUGCCACCUACUAAGGAAACGACCUUUAUAACAGCAUGUUCGGCAGUUAAAUGCAAAAACAAAACAUCAUUAAUAAAAAGCAAUCUAUUAAUAUGUUGUUUUUUUUUACACUAAUUUGUUUAUGAGCAUGAUAGCUGUACUCAUAGUUUAUGGUUUACGCAGCUUGUUGGCCAUUAGCCAAUCAGCGUUUCUCAACGAGUUCAAAGCACAUGCAUGUAUCCAACUGAUAUUUACUUCACUAAUGGUAAAUUCCCACCCCCUCACGGUUACGAAUGCAGCAUUAAAUGUAAUAUAUUGGGCAGCUAGCUAAGCUUUUUCCUCGGUGGACCUGCAUCUACAAUGUAUGCCAUUUCAGUUUGUGUAGUUGUUGGUUUAGCUUUCUGUGACUUUGUAGAAAGUACGGUCUGCAUGUGUAGGCGCAUGUUGCGUCAUGAUUGCAAGGUGUCCCGAUAUCUUUUCCAACGGUCCCAUUAUCUUUUACAACUGUCCCGUUAUCUGGUUUUAAUGUCCAUUCUAGAAUAUCUUUCUAGCCAAUCAGGAACAAUGCUGUGGAAUAAAUAGAAUUAUAAACGCAGUGGUGGGCAGUAUAUGGGACUUUGGUGACAAAACGGAUGGCACUGUGUUAAACUGGAUGCAGUCUAUUGAGUAGGGUAUUGGAGGCUAUUUUGUAAAUGACAUCGCCGAAGUUGAGGAUAGGUAGGAUGGUUGUUGUGAAAUAGGAAGCCAAUUCUAGAUUUAACUUUGGAUUGGAGAUGUUUGAUGUGAGUCUGGAAGGAGAGUUUACUGUCUAACCAGACACCUAGGUAUUUGGAGUUGUCACAUAUUCUAAGUCAGAGCCAUCCAGAGUAGUGAUGUUGGACAGGCGGGCAGGUGCAGGCAGCGAUCGGUUGAAGAGCAUGCAUUUAGUUUUACUUGUAUUUAAGAGCAAUUGGAGGCCAAGGAAGGAGAGUUGUAUGGCAUUGAAGCUCGCCUGGAGGGUUGUUAACACUGUCCAAAGUAGAAUGGUGUCGUCUGCUUAGAGGUGGAUCAGAGACUCGCCAGCAGCAAGAACGACAUCAUUGAUGUAUACAGAGAAGAGAGAUAUGACAAAACAUUUAUUUUUUCUGCUCUAAUGACGUUGGCAACAGUUUAUAAUAGCAAUAAAAGCACCUCGGGGGUUUGUGCUAUAUGGCUAAUAUACCACAGCUAAGGGUGUUGUGCAUGAGAACAGACCUUAGCCAUGGUAUAUUGGCCAUGUACUGUACCACACCCCCUUGGGUCUUAUUGCUUAAUUAUACCAUGGCAUUGUUGAAUACUCCUUCCUGAUUGGCUUCAAGGGCAUUAUAGGCUGCAUUAUUUCCCUAUAAUGCACAGUCGAAUUAAAUGACUAUAGUUCAUUUUUACAUGUUUUGCUUGAGCUGCUUUUGAAAGCAAAAGUGGAAUAGAAAACAGUAUUGCUAUUGUUUAAUUCGAUUUUCAUAAUAGCAAGCUAGAACUGAUGGUUUGGUUAGAUAACCUAGUAAGUCUGUUUGUUUGGUUACCACGGCAACUACUGUAGCUAUCUAGUCAACUUGUUAGCUACUUCAGUGGAUGUUGAACACAUUUCUACUGACAAAUUAACAUAUUUCUAGUGACAAAUGUGUUCAAUUGUAGCCAUGUUAUGAAAGAGAAUUAACUCGUGGGUCUAUGCAUUCUCAGGAAAAUUAUGCAAAUUAAGCAACUCCGUGGAAGACUGAGUUUCCACUUCGUUCAUUAUUUUCCAUAGAACGCAUAGCCCUUCAUUGAUGAUCCCAUACAUAAUCCUGUACAAUAUGAAAUGUGAAUUAUAACUUUGAUCUUUUUGAUGGGGUUGCUAAAAAAAACGUAAGGGAAAUCUAGUCACAAUUUAAAUGACAAACUUCAUAAGCCUUUUUAAACCUCAAAUACAGUACAAGUGUUUAAUUUCUCCUGCAAAUUAAGAUGCUACAUACAGACUGUACACUAAAAUGGAUUUUCAGUACAAAACAGUACAAAAAUGUCAUAGAAUCAGACAGAAUCUAGGAUCAGGUCCCCCUAUCCAUUUAAUCUUAUCUCAUAACGACUGCCCCCACCCAUUGAAGACACGGAUGUUCAAGGCCAACUGUGGUACUGCAGGCUGUUACGGUUUUCUUCCUGGGAAGGAGAGGAGGACCAAAAUGCAGCGUGGUUAUGGUUGAACAUCUUUAAUAAAGAGGAUAACGUGAACAAUAUACAAAACAAGAAACCGUGGAAAAACCGAAACAGUCCUAACUGGUACAAAACACAGAGACAGGAGACAAUCACCCACGAAAUACCCAAAGAAUAUGGCUGCAUAAAUAUGGUUCCCAAUCAGAGACAACGCUUAACACCUGCCCCUGAUUGAGAACCACUCGAGGCAGCCAUAGACUUACCUAGAAUACUACAGUGAAAACAACCCCGUAAAUCUACAAAACCCCUAGAAAAGAAAACACAUAAUCACUCAUGCCACACCCUGGCCUAACCACAAUAAUAAAGAAAACACAAAAUACUAAGGCCAGGGCGUGACACAGGCAUUGUUAACAUAAAACAGGAUCUCACAUUAGUGAAUGAAAAAUCUUCAAAGUCAAUCUUCGUAUAAAUAAAAUUUUAAAAAGACAAUCAUGGUACCAAAAAUUGCUUCUAAUUACACCAGAUGUACACUACCGUUCAAAAGUUUGGGGUCACUUAGAAACAUUUUUUUGUCCAUUAAAUAUCAAAUUGAUCAGAAAUACAGUGUAGACAUUGUUAAUGUUGUAAAUGACUAUUGUAGCUGGAAACAGCAGAUUUUUUAAAUGGAAUAUCUACAUAGACGUACAGAGGCCCAUUAUCAGCAACCAUCACUCCUGUGUUCCAAUGGCACAUUGUGUUAGCUAAUCCAAGUUUAUCAGUUUAACAGGCUAAUGAAAACUUUUGUCCUGAUUAAAGAAGCAAUAAAACUACCCUUCUUUUUACUAGUUGAGUAUCUGGAGCAUCAGCAUUUGUGGGUUCGAUUACUCAAAAUGGUCAGAAACAAAGAACUUUCUUCUGAAACUCGUCAGUCUAUUCUUGUUCUGAGAAAUUAAGGCUGUUCCAUGUGAGAAAUGACAAAGAUACUGAAGAUCUCAUACAACGCUGUGUACUAGUCCCUUCACACAACAGCGACAACUGGCUCUAACCAUAAUAGAAAGAGCAGUGGUGAAGAGGCGACUCCGGGAUGCUGGCCUUCUAGGCAGAGUUGCAAAGAAAAAGCCAUAGACUGGCCAAUAAAAAGAAAAGAUUAAGAUGGGCAAAAGAACACAGACCCUGGACAGAGGAACUCUGCCUAGAAGGCCAGCAUCCCAGAGUCGCCUCUACACUGUUGACGUUGAGACCUGUGUUUUGCGGGUACUAUUUAAUGAAGCUGCCAGAAGCUGUUCAUCUAUUUGUCCUUUGAACUCCUCCAGGGACACCAGCUCCUGGAGUUUUUGGUUGACUUGGAGGGCAUUCCAAUACCAGUGGGCUGAGUAAUGAAAGGACACGUUUCCAAGAUUGGGUCAUAAUUUCGGGGCAUUGUUAGCAUAAAACAAUAUUGAGAUCUGAGCUUGUAUAUGUGUUUUAAUUUCGAGCUAGAAGAGAGGAUAGAUAAAAUGGCCAUUUUCCUCAAAUGGCCUUAUAAAUAAUGUGGCCACUUUGUUACAGCGUUGUCUUUUAAGCCACACGAUUCCGAAUGGCAGUUAAAUCAAUUAAAAUAACCUUCAUCGUCAAGAUCGGUUGCCUAAGCCGAAUAGUCCUAUUUAUCACGUAUUAUUAUUAUUACAAAUAGAAGAGAUUAUCACUUAGUAUUAUUACAAAUAGAAUAGAUUAUCACUUCUCACAAUGGAGCUCAUUUAGUAAAGGUAGAUCAGAGCUGAAUCAAUGUUUUGCAAGAUCACAUAAUGAUUAAUUUUUUAUUAUAUAUUACAGAGCUGAAUAUAAUAGUAUAGGAAAGAGCAUAUUCUUCCAUUUCUAUGAUACUUACCGUAGUCAAAUAGCUGAAAAAAUUCAAGAGGUGCAGCUCUAUUUCCAAGUGUAACUUUCCCCAAGAAUAUCUGCACUGUCUAUGGUUUCAGCACAUGACCACUCACGCGGCAGUGUUUUUCUGGCUACUAAGCAAAGACUAGUAACAAAAUAAAUGUAAAAUAUGCUAUUCUGUUUUCUUUUCAAAUACAUUCUCUUAUUUCCACAACAUUUCUUUAGACUUCUUCGUGAUGGACUUGAACUAGUGUUUUUUUGUUUUUACUUGUAGCCUAGAGUAACAUAAACUAAUGAAAAUGCUAUUAUGUUCUUUGAAAUCAUCAUUUUUUUUACUUACUAUGACUUGUACUAUGUUAUGUCUAGUCUAUGAGACCAGGAUGGUUUUAUCAUCAUAUUAGCUUCAAAAUAAAAGGUAUUGAG